This 301-nucleotide ribosomal RNA is filed under the name uncultured bacterium. Its description in RNAcentral is "partial 16S ribosomal RNA". It matches the Rfam family "Bacterial small subunit ribosomal RNA", at positions 509 to 807 of the family's 1533-position model. The record is from RNAcentral.
CAGCAGCCGCGGGAAAACGUAGGUGGCAAGCGUUGUCCGGAAUUAUUGGGCGUAAAGGGCUCGCAGGCGGUUUCUUAAGUCUGAUGUGAAAGCCCCCGGCUCAACCGGGGAGGGUCAUUGGAAACUGGGAAACUUGAGUGCAGAAGAGGAGAGUGGAAUUCCACGUGUAGCGGUGAAAUGCGUAGAGAUGUGGAGGAACACCAGUGGCGAAGGCGACUCUCUGGUCUGUAACUGACGCUGAGGAGCGAAAGCGUGGGGAGCGAACAGGAUUAGAUACCCCAGUAGUCCCUGUCUCUUAUAC